GCUCACCAGCACGGUGCCUUGGCCAGUUUGUCAUGUUUUGCCAAUUUGUAGUCUCAGAAUUCUUGCUUUCUUACAGUACAAAGGCUUCUCUGCUGCUAUUCUUAAUUUUAUCCUCUGAGAAACUUAGAGGAGCUGCUUCUGGAUACUUUUGAUCUCUGGGACUGUUAUUUUUUUUGUAGCUAUUCAGGAGGUUUUUGGAUGCAGUGAAUGGAAACAUGCUACUUAUCUGAAGCUAACGGAAUAUAACCACAAUCAUGAUUCACAUGUAUUGAGAAUCCCCCUGUCUUACCUGGUUAUAAGAUACUACUGAUAGAUUGCUUUGUAGACUGUUUGCUACUAUAUCCACAGAGUUGUGUGAAAGUCCAUUCUGAUCUUGCUGCAGCUGGUUGGGGUUUCCCUGCCAAUGUUGCUCUGGGCCUCUGUGUCCGCUGGCAUCGUGGAGGCUGUUGUUGUUGCUGUUGGGGCACUUGCUCUUCUCUGGCGAGGCGAAGGGGUUGUAGUCUCCCUCCAUGCUGCGGUGAGGCUGGGUGUUGAACUCGGCUUGAAAAGAAGAAAGCUGCUGUGUGACGCCGAGGAGGCCUCCAACUUCCACACUCAGGAUCACCCAAAUUACAUCUGCCAAAGGAACGAAAACAAACGGUAUAAUACACAUAGCCAACAAACACCGGGAGGCCAUGACUCUGGACCUGGAAGACAGACAGAAAAAUAUGCUGAAUUGGCAUGAAAUGUCUUCGUGAAAGGUGUGUCCGGUGGAACUGAUUCUCCCUCGCCAAUCGUCACGUCACUCACAAAGGACAUGCACGGCGCGCUGAUGUUGGGACUCUCAAAGUCAUAGUAGGCUCCGAUGGCUGCUUGUAAAUUCCUGUGACAUUAAGAGACAGAAAUCCAGAAGAUCAGUAUUCUCAAUUUACGAGUACAACAUGUGAUUUGUAGAAGACACUCUAUGAUUCAUCUGCAGUAUGCACAGCUAUGACACAUUUGUUAGCUAGUUUAUUUACAACAUUUUCAGCAAGAUAAAACAAGUUAUUUUGUAAAGAUUAAAUUCCAACAUAUCAAGCUCACUUCAACUUUUGGGCUAUCACUGUCAAACAGUGUAAAUCUGUCACCAUUUCCUUAAGCCUAGGGUGAAUUCUUGAUAUUGCUUGCUUAGUCCAAACAAAACCCUAAAAAACAAAUAUAUCCAACAGCUACAAUUAUAUAAAUCCAAGUCCUCCAAACAUAUACAGCAAUUUCACAUGAAGACUUUUGGCAGCUAAAAGAUCAACUAUUAAAAUGUUACAAUUAAUAACAUGUAUGUAUACAAUUAUUUACAUACAUGUUCUAUUCUAUGAAUGUAAUUGUCAACCGUAUUUCUGACAUGUAACAAACAAUAUCAAUAAAUUGUUUUAGCCCUAUACCCAGAAGUUUUA
Molecule: long non-coding RNA, 1409 nt
Organism: Eleginops maclovinus (Patagonian blennie)
Lineage: Eukaryota; Metazoa; Chordata; Actinopteri; Perciformes; Eleginopidae
Exons: 3
Source: RefSeq, a predicted model, not a curated record